CCCCUCUCAGGGUCGUAUCUGGAGAGUUUCCAGUACUCUACCAGUCUUGGCUUCAGAAGAGAGAGUCAAGCAGAGGCCUACCCAUUCCACUACUAGCUUGGCCAGUGGCUAGCAAUUGGAAGGCAAUCUGCUACAAAU
Molecule: small nucleolar RNA, 138 nt
Organism: Ornithorhynchus anatinus (platypus)
Lineage: Eukaryota; Metazoa; Chordata; Mammalia; Monotremata; Ornithorhynchidae
Source: RefSeq, a predicted model, not a curated record